This 291-nucleotide long non-coding RNA is filed under the name Malus domestica (apple). RNAcentral describes it as "long non-coding RNA (MDOM_LNC002979)". The record is from RNAcentral. Lineage: Eukaryota; Viridiplantae; Streptophyta; Magnoliopsida; Rosales; Rosaceae.
UCCCAUCUUUUCUGUAUGUUUUGUCCCCCCUCUAUCAGAAAAAGCAAAGAAAAUUUGAAAACUUCUCUCUUCUUUCUCCCUAUCCCGUGAGCUCUCUCUCCCUCUGCAACUCCAUGAGCAAGCUCCAAAACUCAUAGAUCGAACAAACAAACUACAUCAUCAUGCUCAUCUCAGCCCCACGAUCACGACCAUACCCCUGGUUCGCGUGUUGACCGAGUUUUGAACGUCCAACUCGGAAGGUUCGACUCGGUGAGUUCGAUACUACGGUUUUCAAGCCAUGCAUGGCUAAGA